Molecule: ribosomal RNA, 465 nt
Filed under: uncultured bacterium
Lineage: Bacteria
Description: partial 16S ribosomal RNA
Rfam family: Bacterial small subunit ribosomal RNA
Source: RNAcentral
GACGAACGCUGGCGGCGUGCUUAACACAUGCAAGUCGAACGGAAAGGCCCCUUUGGGGGUACUCGAGUGGCGAACGGGUGAGUAACACGUGAGUAACCUGCCCUUGACUUCGGGAUAACUUCAGGAAACUGGGGCUAAUACCGGCUAGGAAUCCUUGCUGCAUGGUGGGGGUUGGAAAGCUUCGGCGGUUUUGGAUGGACUCGCGGCUUAUCAGCUUGUUGGUGGGGUAGUGGCUUACCAAGGCUUUGACGGGUAGCCGGCCUGAGAGGGCGACCGGCCACAUUGGGACUGAGAUACGGCCCAGACUCCUACGGGAGGCAGCAGUGGGGAAUAUUGCACAAUGGGCGUAAGCCUGAUGCAGCAACGCCGCGUGCGGGAUGACGGCCUUCGGGUUGUAAACCGCUUUCAGCAGGGGCGAAGCUUGUGGUGACGGUACCUGCAGAAGAAGCACCGGCUAACUACGUG